This 828-nucleotide ribosomal RNA is filed under the name uncultured bacterium. RNAcentral describes it as "SSU rRNA". It matches the Rfam family "Bacterial small subunit ribosomal RNA", at positions 65 to 908 of the family's 1533-position model. The record is from RNAcentral.
AGCGAUGAGAUCACUUCGGUGAAGGAUUAGCGGCGAACGGGUGAGGAACACGUGAAGAAUCUGCCUUCAACUCUGGGAUAACUCCGGGAAACCGGGGCUAAUACCGGAUAUGAGCCUUGAUCGCAUGAUCGGGGCUGGAAAGUUUUUCGGUUGAAGAUGACUUCGCGGCCUAUCAGCUUGUUGGUGAGGUAAUGGCUCACCAAGGCGACGACGGGUAGCCGGCCUGAGAGGGCGACCGGCCACACUGGGACUGAGACACGGCCCAGACUCCUACGGGAGGCAGCAGUGGGGAAUAUUGGGCAAUGGACGAAAGUCUGACCCAGCGACGCCGCGUGCGGGAUGAAGGCCUUCGGGUUGCAAACCGCUUUCAGCAGGGAAUAAGCGCAAGUGAAGGUACCUGCAGAAGAAGCACCGGCUAACUAUGUGCCAGCAGCCGCGGUAAUACAUAGGGUGCAAGCGUUGUCCGGAAUUAUUGGGCGUAAAGAGCUCGUAGGUGGUUUGUUACGUCGGUUGUGAAAUUCAGGGGCUCAACCCCUGACUUGCAGCCGAUACGGGCAAGCUAGAGUUUGGUAGGGGAGACUGGAAUUCCUGGUGUAGCGGUGGAAUGCGCAGAUAUCAGGAGGAACACCGAUGGCGAAGGCAGGUCUCUGGGCCAAUACUGACACUGAGGAGCGAAAGCGUGGGGAGCGAACAGGAUUAGAUACCCUGGUAGUCCACGCCGUANACGGUGGGCGCUAGUUGUGCGAACCUUCCACGGUUUGUGCGACGCAGCUAACGCAUUUAGCGCCCCGCCUGGGGAGUACGAUCGCAAGAUUAAAACUCCAAGGA